GCUGUGAUGGCCGAGUGGUUAAGGGAUUGGAUUAGAAAUCCAAUAAGGUUUCACUAUGCAAGUUCAUAUCCUGCUCAAAGUG
RNAcentral lists this transfer RNA (82 nucleotides) under Pelodiscus sinensis (Chinese soft-shelled turtle). It matches the Rfam family "tRNA". From Rfam's summary of the family: Transfer RNA (tRNA) molecules are approximately 80 nucleotides in length. Their secondary structure includes four short double-helical elements and three loops (D, anti-codon, and T loops). The record is from Rfam by way of RNAcentral. Lineage: Eukaryota; Metazoa; Chordata; Testudines; Trionychidae.